This 1381-nucleotide long non-coding RNA is filed under the name Salvator merianae (Argentine black and white tegu). RNAcentral describes it as "lncRNA (ENSSMRG00000002802.1)". The record is from RNAcentral. Lineage: Eukaryota; Metazoa; Chordata; Lepidosauria; Squamata; Teiidae.
GAAGCGGCCAACCCGCAUUCCCUUCCUCUGCUGCACUUUCCCUUUCAAGGUUCUCAGGGUAAUUAGUGCCUUGCUAAUGACACACCUUUCCAGCGCCUGCCCAGGUGCAAGGAAGCGAUUGCUCAUUCCAGGCCGAGGCCGUGUCCUCACAAGCCGAGGGGAAGCGGCUCAAGCGCCGGCGGCGCAGCGGGGAGAAGCGGGCCGACGUCGCUCGGGGUGCGCCCGGGGCCGUCCCUCGCUCCCUCUCCUCCGCCCAUCCCUGCUUCGCCCCUGCCGGGACACUCAGCCCGCGACUGCGCUUCUUCCUUCUCGGCGCCGCUGUACAUCUGCCGGGAAAUAUGUGGAGGGCGGACGGGUGAAUCAUCUGCUGCACCAUGUAAGAUCAGCUGCCAGUCCAGUUUGUUCCUCAAGGCAUAGCUCGAGGAGUCUGUUAGAUUCCAUCUACAUUAUACGGAACCAGGAAUUACAUGCCUUAAAAACUGCUGGGCUCUGCACUGAAUUUAUGCCAAGUUCAACCCUGAAUGCCUAGACUGAGGUGGAUUGAUUGAUCCCUCAAUAAGAAUCCCAUGGAUCAGGUCUGCAUCCUUUCUAACAGAAUGAUGCUUCAUCAGCCCCAUAUUUCAGCUCCAUAAAAGAGGGAAGGAAUAACUUUGACACACUAAAUCCUAAGAACUGAAGUUACAGAAGCAGGAUGUUUUCAAGAAUGGCAGAAGAACAUGCAGAUAAUUUGUCAAGCAUCAUGAUGGGACUCGACAAGUCAACAAUAAUUAUGAUUUUAUCACCAGAUCAUCUAGAGAUGCACACACAACUUUCGCAUGAAUGAAUAUAUUUGCUCCCUAAUCAAUCAAUCUAUUAAUUAAAACCCUUCCCCUAUGAAGGACUGACUACAGUCAGAAAACAUACACGUGAUGCUGCACUAUUUGCAUUAAAGGUCUUUAAAGCAACAGAAUUGUAGCUUCAUACUAUCGGACUUUUCUAUGUAGAAGACAAAGAAAUUUAACCCAUUUUAUAUAUCUUUUAAACUUUUUAAUUUAAUUCUGUUAUUUUAACUUUUGUGGAUCUGUUUUAUUGAUUUUGUAAUACUCCUGGAUCUGAUGACUAGAAUUUGUAAUUUGCACUCUUUCACACACAUAUACACACACACUAUUCAUGUCAGCUUGGACGUAAAUUCAGAAGAGUUCAGUGGCACUUCCUCCUAACUAUGUGUGCUAGGAAAUGAAGUCUUAGGCCACGAACACACACAGUUCCAAUUAGACAUCUCUUUGUGAUAACCUCUCCUUUUCUGAGGGCCCCCACAAAAACCUUAUCCACAACACAGUGAAAAGAGUUGGCACAACAGAUACACACAAACCAGCCCAUUUGUAAAUUCUAGUCAGUUCAC